This 194-nucleotide ribosomal RNA is filed under the name Giardia duodenalis. RNAcentral describes it as "Giardia intestinalis partial small subunit ribosomal RNA". Lineage: Eukaryota; Fornicata; Diplomonadida; Hexamitidae. The record is from RNAcentral.
CAUGCAUGCCCGCUCACCCGGGACGCGGCGGACGGCUCAGGACGACGGUUGCACCCCCCGCGGCGGUCCCUGCUAGCCGGACACCGCUGGCAACCCGGCGCCAAGACGUGCGCGCAAGGGCGGGCGCCCGCGGGCGAGCAGCGUGACGCAGCGACGGCCCGCCCGGGCUUCCGGGGCAUCACCCGGUCGGCGCG